This 304-nucleotide ribosomal RNA is filed under the name uncultured bacterium. RNAcentral describes it as "partial 16S ribosomal RNA". It matches the Rfam family "Bacterial small subunit ribosomal RNA", at positions 506 to 807 of the family's 1533-position model. The record is from RNAcentral.
CAGCAGCAGCCACGGUAAUACGGAGGGUGCAAGCGUUAAUCGGAAUUACUGGGCGUAAAGCGCACGCAGGCGGUCUGUCAAGUCAGAUGUGAAAUCCCCGGGCUUAACCUGGGAACUGCAUUUGAAAUUGGCAGGCUAGAGUCUUGUAGAGGGGGGUAGAAUUCCAGGUGUAGCGGUGAAAUGCGUAGAGAUCUGGAGGAAUACCGGUGGCGAAGGCGGCCCCCUGGACAAAGACUGACGCUCAGGUGCGAAAGCGUGGGGAGCAAACAGGAUUAGAUACCCCAGUAGUCCCUGUCUCUUAUAC